AGAGUUUGAUCCUGGCUCAGAGCGAACGCUGGCGGCGUGCUUAACACAUGCAAGUCGAGGGAGAACGGAGGGCUUCGGCCUUCCUAGUAAACCGGCGCACGGGUGAGUAACACGUAGGUAACCUACCCCCGAGCUCGGGAUAACCUGUCGAAAGAUAGGCUAAUACCGGAUGAGACCACGUUGGCUUCGGCCAAUGCGGUCAAAGAUGGCCUCUAUUUAUACGCUAUCACUCGAGGAUGGGCCUGCGCACCAUUAGCUAGUUGGUGAGGUAACGGCUCACCAAGGCUACGAUGGUUAGUUGGUCUGAGAGGAUGACCAGCCACACUGGGACUGAGACACGGCCCAGACUCCUACGGGAGGCAGCAGUGGGGAAUAUUGCGCAAUGGGGGAAACCCUGACGCAGCGACGCCGCGUGGGUGAUGAAGGCCUUCGGGUCGUAAAGCCCUGUCGGAGGGGAAGAAGGACUGUCGUGCAAAUAGUGCGAUGGUUUGACGGUACCCUUAGAGGAAGCACCGGCUAACUCCGUGCCAGCAGCCGCGGUAAUACGGAGGGUGCAAGCGUUGCUCGGAAUUACUGGGCGUAAAGGGCGUGUAGGUGGUCUGAUUAGUCUGAUGUGAAAGCCCUGGGCUCAACCCAGGAAGUGCAUUGGAUACUGUCAGACUUGAAUACGGGAGAGGGUAGUGGAAUUCCUAGUGUAGGAGUGAAAUCCGUAGAUAUUAGGAGGAACACCGGUGGCGAAGGCGGCUACCUGGACCGAUAUUGACGCUGAGACGCGAAAGCGUGGGUAGCAAACAGGAUUAGAUACCCUGGUAGUCC
RNAcentral lists this ribosomal RNA (816 nucleotides) under uncultured bacterium. Its description in RNAcentral is "bacterial SSU rRNA". It matches the Rfam family "Bacterial small subunit ribosomal RNA", at positions 8 to 796 of the family's 1533-position model. The record is from RNAcentral.